RNAcentral lists this ribosomal RNA (375 nucleotides) under uncultured bacterium. RNAcentral describes it as "bacterial SSU rRNA". It matches the Rfam family "Bacterial small subunit ribosomal RNA", at positions 525 to 896 of the family's 1533-position model. The record is from RNAcentral.
ACGUAGGCACCAAGCGUUGUCCGGAUUUAUUGGGCGUAAAGAGCUCGUAGGCGGUUCAGUAAGUCGGGUGUGAAAACUCUGGGCUCAACCCAGAGACGCCACCCGAUACUGCUGUGACUUGAGUACGGUAGGGGAGCGGGGAAUUCCUGGUGUAGCGGUGAAAUGCGCAGAUAUCAGGAGGAACACCAGUGGCGAAGGCGCCGCUCUGGGCCGUAACUGACGCUGAGGAGCGAAAGCGUGGGGAGCAAACAGGAUUAGAUACCCUGGUAGUCCACGCCGUAAACGUUGGGCACUAGGUGUGGGUCUCAACCAACGAGAUCCGCGCCGUCGCUAACGCAUUAAGUGCCCCGCCUGGGGAGUACGGUCGCAAGACUA